GUCAGCAGCCGCGGUAACACCGGCGGCCCGAGUGGUGAUCGUGAUUAUUGGGUCUAAAGGGUCCGUAGCCGGUUUGGUCAGUCCUCCGGGAAAUCUGAUAGCUCAACUAUUAGGCUUUCGGGGGAUACUGCCAGACUUGGAACCGGGAGGGGUAAGAGGUACUACAGGGGUAGGAGUGAAAUCUUGUAAUCCCUGUGGGACCACCUGUGGCGAAGGCGUCUUACCAGAACGGGUUCGACGGUGAGGGACGAAAGCUGGGGGCACGAACCGGAUUAGAUACCCGGGUAGUCCCAGCCGUAAACGAUGCUCGCUAGGUGUCAGGCAUGGCGCGACCGUGUCUGGUGCCGCAGGGAAGCCGUGAAGCGAGCCACCUGGGAAGUACGGCCGCAAGGCUGAAACUUAAAGGAAUUGGCGGGGAGCACAACAACGGGUGGAAGCCUGCGGUUUAAUUGGACUCAACGCCGGACAACUCACCGGGGGCGACAGCAAUAUGUAGGCCAAGCUGAAGACUUUGCCUGAAUCGCUGAGGGGAGGUGCAUGG
RNAcentral lists this ribosomal RNA (541 nucleotides) under uncultured archaeon. Its description in RNAcentral is "bacterial SSU rRNA". It matches the Rfam family "Archaeal small subunit ribosomal RNA", at positions 457 to 997 of the family's 1478-position model. The record is from RNAcentral.